Molecule: ribosomal RNA, 258 nt
Filed under: Triticum aestivum (bread wheat)
Lineage: Eukaryota; Viridiplantae; Streptophyta; Magnoliopsida; Poales; Poaceae
Description: partial small subunit ribosomal RNA
Source: RNAcentral
AUGAAUAUCCUAUGUCUUAACUGUCGGGGUUGCGGGCGGCCCGAGACAGUUAAUGAAAUAAGCAACUUAGUUAAGUUGUAUCACCCGUGCUUAGCCUUUCUCUCGGAGACUAAGCUGUCUACUACGAGAGCUCAGGACUUGCGAUUCAGGCUCGGUUUCUCCAAUGCUUUUGGUGUUGGAAGUAAUGGACUCAGUGGCGGUUUGGUUCUUUUUUGGAACAAUGAUUCAGUAGUGAGUUUGGAAUCUUAUAACAAUUCC